GUAGGUGGCAAGCGUUGUCCGGAGUUAUUGGGCGUAAAGCGCGCGCAGGCGGUUCUUUAAGUCUGAUGUGAAAGCCCACGGCUCAACCGUGGAGGGUCGUUGGAAACUGGAGAACUUGAGUACAGAAGAGGAAAGCGGAAUUCCACGUGUAGCGGUGAAAUGCGUAGAGAUGUGGAGGAACACCAGUGGCGAAGGCGGCUUUCUGGUCUGUAACUGACGCUGAGGCGCGAAAGCGUGGGGAGCAAACAGGGAUUAGAUACCCUGGUAGUCCACGCCGUAAACGAUGAGUGCUAAGUGUUAGGGGGGUUUCCGCCCCCUUAGUGCUGCAGCUAACGCAUUAAGCACUCCGCCUGGGGAUACGGCCGCAAGGCUG
RNAcentral lists this ribosomal RNA (373 nucleotides) under uncultured organism. RNAcentral describes it as "partial 16S ribosomal RNA". It matches the Rfam family "Bacterial small subunit ribosomal RNA", at positions 527 to 896 of the family's 1533-position model. The record is from RNAcentral.